UGCUCGGGAGAGGCCCAGCGAGGGUCGGGGAGCCGCUGCCUGUGCCUCAGCUUCCCGUUCUGUGAAAUGCAAACAACACUCGCCCUGACCUCCCGGAUGCGACAGCUCUGGAGGGCGCUGGGGAGGGUCCGCCUCAUUGUCGUCGUGGAGAAGGGAGCGCUGCGGGGCUGAAGCCAGAGGCUGCGGGACAAUCCUGGGCGCGGGAGAAUCUCCGAGACCCACAGCGGGAACGACCUAGGCGCGCGGGGCGGAGGUGGUGGCCGGGCCGGGCGGCGGAGGGGCUGGGGGCCGAGGUCCGGGCCGGGCCAUCCCGCAGAGGGCAGUGCAGGAUCGGCCCUGGCCACACGCGCCCUCCGGCUGCCAGAGCCGCUCCGCCGCGCCGCGCCCUCUCCCGAGGCCCCAGCGGUUCUCCAGCACCGGGGGCGGCGCGGAACUGCCCUUCUCGCCUUGGACUGUCACAGCAACCCCGGGACGCGGCCGAUCAGCCCCGCUUCAUAGAGAAGGAAACUGAGGCCCCGAGAAGUCAAGCACCUCGCCCCAAGCAGCACGGCUAGAAACGGAUUGCAGCUGGAAACGCUCUCGGUGCCAGCUCUCGGUGCCAGCUGAACCUCUUGGAGCAAGCCCCAUUCACGCAGGCCACUAUGAGUGAAGGCUCCACACGAGCAUCUCCUAGGUGUGAGAUCUCGGUAACUCCAGGCCUCACAUCCAGACACCCGCACCCUGGAGCCUGCAAGCCUCCUGAGGGUCUCUAACCUACUCCGCUGGAUAGUGCUGGCCCUCGACUUGCCCAGUAUGAGUCAUCGUGGCAACACCUCGGAAAAUACCCAAGUCACUCCAAUUACAGCAUUAUCAAUCGCUGCCAUCGCUCUGGAACUCAACCCAAUGAAACUGGCAAGAAUGCCAGCCGGGCCGGGCCGGGAGGAAUCCAGUUCUUGGCGAAGGCUGCUUGCCUGGCAGCGCGUCUGCGGCCAUGCCAAGCCACAAGCCCUGUGUGGUCGAAGCUGCAGAGGUGUCGGCUCCAUUUCACAGUCAUGGACACUGAGGCCCACCAAGGCUAAGGCCUCUCCUGCAGCCCAAACCCAUGACAGAGAACCCAGAGAGGGAAAGGCUGCCUGGCCAAAACCGCGCCUCAGAUGGCAGGGGGUGGUGGUGGGUGGUGGGCGGUGGAGAGGGCCUCAGUCGGGCCAUGCACCACACUAGCCCCUGGCAUGGUGGCCUUUCAUGGAGUGUCUAUCCUAUGUUGGCUGGGCCAUGGACUGUGCAUGCAUUAUCCCAUCAACCUCAACAAAGUAGGGGCCAUGAUCCCUGUCUUACAGACGAUGAAACAAAGGCUUAAAGCAUUUGUCACUUGCCCAGGGUCACUCAGUUAGUAAAUGACAGCUCUGGGUUAAAACCCAGCCCCGUCUGACUCGGGGUCCAUGCUGCUUCCACAGGGACUCGUCUUCUGUCUCCUGCCUGAAGGUGAAUGUGCUGACCGAGGGCACCGUCUCAGUGCCUGUGUGCACGGGUGCACACGCCACGCCCAUCAGCAAAGAUCCCACUGGCCCCCUGCCUCUGACAUCCUGUGGGCGGACAGCCUGGCCCAGCAGAGUGGGGAGGCCAACUACAGCUGGCCACCCACGAUCCAGUGGCGCUCCAUGCUCCUAAUCAGUAAGAUAUGUUUCUGGAAUAAAAACCGCAUCAGCAUUUUUAUUUUCAAGUUCA
This is a non-coding RNA of Macaca mulatta (Rhesus monkey), 1704 nucleotides long. NCBI's taxonomy places the organism in Eukaryota, Metazoa, Chordata, Mammalia, Primates, Cercopithecidae. The record is from RefSeq and is a predicted model, not a curated record.